Molecule: ribosomal RNA, 507 nt
Filed under: uncultured bacterium
Lineage: Bacteria
Description: partial 16S ribosomal RNA
Rfam family: Bacterial small subunit ribosomal RNA (bases 20-332)
Source: RNAcentral
GACGAACGCUGGCGGCGUGCUUAACACAUGCAAGUCGAACGGAAAGGCCCUGCUUUUGUGGGGUGCUCGAGUGGCGAACGGGUGAGUAACACGUGAGUAACCUGCCCUUGACUUUGGGAUAACUUCAGGAAACUGGGGCUAAUACCGGAUAGGAGCUCCUGCUGCAUGGUGGGGGUUGGAAAGUUUCGGCGGUUGGGGAUGGACUCGCGGCUUAUCAGCUUGUUGGUGGGGUAGUGGCUUACCAAGGCUUUGACGGGUAGCCGGCCUGAGAGGGUGACCGGGUACGGUGGGAGGAGGGUGCGGCCGGGAGGCCUAGGGGGGGAAGCGGCGGGGAAUAUGGGACAAGGGGCGUAAGCGGGGAGGGGCGGGCGGGCGGUGGGGGUGGCGGCCCGCGGGUGGUAAACCGGUGUCGCGUGGGGGGAGGCGGGAGGGAAGGGAAGGGGUAAAGAAGCACCGGCUACAUCGGUGCCGGCAGCGGAGGUAAGAGCGAAGCCCACACGCCUGAGU